UUACCGAUGAGAUUGCUAUUAUUAGUUACGUUGCUAUCUAUCGUUGGUUACACUAAUCAGUUGCUUUCCAACUGACCUCGAAGACGCUCCAGCUGUAAUCUGGGUAGCCCAAUUUCCUCCAGAUAACACUACACAGCACUAUGAAUUCAGAUAUAUCGUAAAUGAAUUAUAUAAUGCUAGCAAGAUGACUGCAUUAAUGAACCAUAUAUAUAUCGAUAAUCCGCUUAUAAGCAAUUCAACUAAUAACGUUACUCACGAGUUAUUGAUUGAUCUCCAUGAACUUUAUAAUGACGGAGAGAUUUCCAGGAUAGUUCUACUCAGAACUUUGGUAACUCAAUCUGCGGAUGAUGCUACAUGGAUAAUCAACUUGACAGAUGAUGUGCUUAAUGGAUUACCACUGCUGAAGAAGCGAGACCGAUACACCACACAAUGUCAUAGUACAAAUAUGGCAAGCACAUAUGACUGUGACACUGGAGCCAAUGCUGUUGGAGCCCGAGGUGGAGCCACGUUAGCAGCCGACUAUAGAGGUGAUUGGGGGGGGUAAUGUUAUACAAACCUUUGGUAGUAAAAGCGUGUCUUACUGAGAUCUAGCAUGUGAUGUUUUGGCUUAUUAUCGAUGAUUGUUCUCAAUCAAGAGCAAACACCCACCCUGAAGUAUCAGGCGUUAUACCUGGUUCUGCUGGAAUGCGUAGAGUAUGUGUUAGUGAUAGAGGAUCUGGGUGUUAAUAUUGCAUCCCAU
This 739-nucleotide long non-coding RNA is filed under the name Schizosaccharomyces pombe (fission yeast). The record is from RNAcentral. Lineage: Eukaryota; Fungi; Ascomycota; Schizosaccharomycetes; Schizosaccharomycetales; Schizosaccharomycetaceae.